GACGAACGCUGGCGGCGUGCUUAACACAUGCAAGUCGAACGGUGAAGCGCCUUCCUUUUUGGUUGGUGUGGAUGAGUGGCGAACGGGUGAGUAACACGUGAGUAACCUGCCCCCUUCUUCUGGAUAACCGCAUGAAAGUGUGGCUAAUACGGGAUAUUCUGGGUCUGUCGCAUGAUGGGUCUGGGAAAGAUAUUGUUUCGGUGGGGGAUGGGCUCGCGGCCUAUCAGCUUGUUGGUGGGGUGAUGGCCUACCAAGGCGGUGACGGGUAGCCGGCCUGAGAGGGUGGACGGUCACAAUGGGACUGAGACACGGCCCAGACUCAUACGGGAGGCAGCAGUGGGGAAUAUUGCACAAUGGGCGCAAGCCUGAUGCAGCGACGCCGCGUGAGGGAUGGAGGCCUGCGGGUUGUGAACCUCUUUCGCCAGUGAAGCAGGCCUGCCUCGUUUGUGGGUGGGUUGACGGUAGCUGGAUAAGAAGCGCCGGCUAACUACGUG
RNAcentral lists this ribosomal RNA (494 nucleotides) under uncultured bacterium. RNAcentral describes it as "partial 16S ribosomal RNA". It matches the Rfam family "Bacterial small subunit ribosomal RNA", at positions 28 to 507 of the family's 1533-position model. The record is from RNAcentral.